Molecule: microRNA precursor, 53 nt
Filed under: Camelus bactrianus (Bactrian camel)
Lineage: Eukaryota; Metazoa; Chordata; Mammalia; Artiodactyla; Camelidae
Also listed under: 3 other names
Description: mir-1302 microRNA precursor family
Rfam family: mir-1302 microRNA precursor family
Source: Rfam by way of RNAcentral
UUUUUAAUAUAAAUAUGUCCCAAGCAACAUUUGGGACAUACUUUAUACUAAAA